UCUGUAACAAGCGCUCAUCAGCUGCUUGCUUCUGUGGCUCCCUCUCUGUGGAAUGUACUUUUGUUUCAAUAAAUCUGUGCUUUCGCUGCUUCAUUCUUUCAUUUCUUUGUGCGUUUUGUCCAAUUAUUUGUUCAAAAUGUCAAGAGCCUGGAAGACUUGUAGUCAAGACCCUCCAUCAGUAACAAUAGAUUUUCUUAUGCAUCUUCCUGUUACUUAACUUGUUAUCCCUGGUUUAGAACUCUCCUUAUAAUUCUCCAUACUAUUAUAACCUCAAAAGGUGUACUGAUAAAUGAAUUGAAAGAAUAUCCUGG
This 311-nucleotide long non-coding RNA is filed under the name Homo sapiens (human). RNAcentral describes it as "LHRI_LNC1212.1". The record is from RNAcentral. Lineage: Eukaryota; Metazoa; Chordata; Mammalia; Primates; Hominidae.